Molecule: ribosomal RNA, 940 nt
Filed under: Rhodocyclaceae bacterium
Lineage: Bacteria; Pseudomonadati; Pseudomonadota; Betaproteobacteria; Rhodocyclales; Rhodocyclaceae
Description: partial 23S ribosomal RNA
Rfam family: Bacterial large subunit ribosomal RNA
Source: RNAcentral
GCACGAAUGGCGUAACGAUGGCCACACUGUCUCCACCCGAGACUCAGCGAAGUUGAAAUGUUUGUGAAGAUGCAAUCUACCCGCGGCUAGACGGAAAGACCCCAUGAACCUUUACUGUAGCUUUGCAUUGGAUUUUGAAUAGACCUGUGUAGGAUAGCUGGGAGGCUUUGAAGCGGUGUCGCCAGACAUCGUGGAGCCGACGUUGAAAUACCAGCCUGGUGUGUUUGAGAUUCUAACCUAGACCCCUUAUCGGGGUUGGGGACCGUGCAUGGUAGGCAGUUUGACUGGGGCGGUCUCCUCCCAAAUUGUAACGGAGGAGUACGAAGGUAUCCUAGGUACGGUCGGACAUCGUACUGAUAGUGCAAUGGCAAAAGGAUGCUUAACUGCGAGACUGACAAGUCGAGCAGAUACGAAAGUAGGUCAUAGUGAUCCGGUGGUUCUGUAUGGAAGGGCCAUCGCUCAACGGAUAAAAGGUACUCUGGGGAUAACAGGCUGAUUCCUCCCAAGAGUUCAUAUCGACGGGGGAGUUUGGCACCUCGAUGUCGGCUCAUCACAUCCUGGGGCUGUAGCCGGUCCCAAGGGUAUGGCUGUUCGCCAUUUAAAGUGGUACGUGAGCUGGGUUUAAAACGUCGUGAGACAGUUUGGUCCCUAUCUGCCGUGGGCGCUGGAAAUUUGAAGGGACCUGCUCCUAGUACGAGAGGACCGGAGUGGACGUAUCUCUGGUGGACCGGUUGUCAUGCCAAUGGCAUAGCCGGGUAGCUAAAUACGGAAGAGAUAAACGCUGAAAGCAUCUAAGCGUGAAACUCGCCUCAAGAUAAGAUAUCCCGGGGACUCGAUCCCCCUGAAGGGUCGUUGUAGACCACAACGUUGAUAGGCCGGGUGUGGAAGCGCAGCAAUGCGUUAAGCUAACCGGUACUAAUUGCCCGUGCGGCUUGACCCU